This 805-nucleotide non-coding RNA is filed under the name Parnassius dongalaicus. The record is from RNAcentral. Lineage: Eukaryota; Metazoa; Arthropoda; Insecta; Lepidoptera; Papilionidae.
AAAAUCUAUAUGAGAAAAUUUCAUAUAUAAAUAAAUUUUUAUGAUUUAAAAAAAUUUAAUUUAAAUUUAUUUUACAUGUAAAUUUUAGUGUUAAUUUUUAAUUAUUUUAAUAAUAAUUAUUAAUAUUUGCAGUAAUUAAAAUUAAAAAUUUAAGAAAUUAAGAUUUAGAAAUAUUUUGAUUAUUAACAAAUUUUGUGCCAGCAGUUGCGGUUAUACAAAAAAUAAUUUAAAUUUUAUUGGUAUAUAAUAAAUAAGAAUUAUUAUUUAAAUUAAAUAUUAAAUUAUUAAGUGAAAUUUUAAUUUAAUUAAAAUUUAUAUUAAUUUUAUGAUUUAUUAAAUUUUAUAAAAAACUAGGAUUAGAUACCCUAUUAUUAAAAAUUAAAUUUAUAAUACUAAAAUAGUAGAUAAUAAUUUAUUGAAACUUAAAUAAUUUGGCGGUAUUUUAGUUCAUUUAGAGGAAUCUGUUUAAUAAUUGAUAAUCCACGAAUAAAUUUACUUAAUUUAUUAUUUUGUAUAUCGUUGUUAAAAAAAUAUUUUUUAAUAAAAAUAAUAUUUAAAAAUUUUUAUAUAAAAUUAAUUCAGAUCAAGAUGCAGAUUAUAAUUAAGAAUAUAAUGGAUUACAAUAAAUAAAUUUAAAUGAAUAAUAUUUUUUAAUAAAUAUUUGAAGGUGGAUUUAAAUGUAAUUUUAAUUAAUUUAUUAAAAUGAUUAUAUAUUAAAAUAUGUACAUAUUGCCCGUCGCUUUCAUUAAUAAAUUGGAAUAAGUCGUAACAAAGUAGAGGUACUGGAAAGUGUUUCUAGAAAGAA